RNAcentral lists this ribosomal RNA (465 nucleotides) under uncultured bacterium. RNAcentral describes it as "partial 16S ribosomal RNA". It matches the Rfam family "Bacterial small subunit ribosomal RNA", at positions 28 to 507 of the family's 1533-position model. The record is from RNAcentral.
GACGAACGCUGGCGGCGUGCUUAACACAUGCAAGUCGAACGGAAAGGCCCCUUUGGGGGUACUCGAGUGGCGCACGGGUGAGUAACACGUGAGUAACCUGCCCUUGACUUCGGGAUAACUUCAGGAAACUGGGGCUAAUACCGGAUAGGAAUCCUUGCUGCAUGGUGGGGGUUGGAAAGCUUCGGCGGUUUUGGAUGGACUCACGGCUUAUCAGCUUGUUGGUGGGGUAGUGGCUUACCAAGGCUUUGACGGGUAGCCGGCCUGAGAGGGCGACCGGCCACAUUGGGACUGAGAUACGGCCCAGACUCCUACGGGAGGCAGCGGUGGGGAAUAUUGCACAAUGGGCGGAAGCCUGAUGCAGCAACGCCGCGUGCGGGAUGACGGCCUUCGGGUUGUAAACCGCUUUCAGCAGGGGCGAAGCUUGUGGUGACGGUACCUGCAGAAGAAGCACCGGCUAACUACGUG